GGAAAUGUAGUCAAUAAUAUUGAAAUAUGUAUUGUAAUAACUAUGUAUACUGCUUGUUGGAUACUGGAAAUAUGAGGGGGAGCACUUUGUAAAGUGCAUGAUUAUCUAACCACUAUGCUGUACACCUGAAACUAAUACAAACUAAUAUGAAAUGUAAAUCAUAAUUAAAAA
Long non-coding RNA from Pipistrellus kuhlii (Kuhl's pipistrelle), 171 nucleotides. RefSeq lists it as uncharacterized. The record is from RefSeq and is a predicted model, not a curated record. The transcript is spliced from 3 exons. Lineage: Eukaryota; Metazoa; Chordata; Mammalia; Chiroptera; Vespertilionidae.